Molecule: ribosomal RNA, 253 nt
Filed under: uncultured bacterium
Lineage: Bacteria
Description: partial 16S ribosomal RNA
Rfam family: Bacterial small subunit ribosomal RNA
Source: RNAcentral
UACGUAGGGUGCAAGCGUUGUCCGGAAUUAUUGGGCGUAAAGAGCUCGUAGGCGGUUUGUUGCGUCGGCUGUAAAAUCCCGAGGCUCAACCUCGGGUCUGCAGUCGAUACGAGCAAACUAGAGUGUUGCAGGGGAGACUGGAAUUCCUGGUGUAGCGGUGAAAUGCGCAGAUAUCAGGAGGAACACCGAUGGCGAAGGCAGCCCCCUGGGAUGUGACUGACGCUCAUGUACGAAAGCGUGGGGAGCAAACAGG